RNAcentral lists this ribosomal RNA (253 nucleotides) under uncultured bacterium. Its description in RNAcentral is "partial 16S ribosomal RNA". It matches the Rfam family "Bacterial small subunit ribosomal RNA", at positions 524 to 776 of the family's 1533-position model. The record is from RNAcentral.
UACGUAGGUGGCAAGCGAUACUCGGAAUCACUAGGCGUAAAGCGCAGGUAGGCGGUUUGGUAAGUCUUUUGUGAAAGCUCCCGGCUUAACUGGGAGAGGUCAAGGGAAACUACUAGACUAGAGUGUGGUAGGGGAUACUGGAAUUCCUGGUGUAGCGGUGAAAUGCGUAGAUAUCAGGAGGAAUACCUAUGGCGAAAGCAGGUAUCUGGGCCAUCACUGACGCUGAGCUGCGAAAGCUAGGGGAGCAAACAGG